UUACAAUGGAGAGUUUGAUCCUGGCUCAGGAUGAACGCUAGCGGCAGGCUUAAUACAUGCAAGUCGAGGGGCAGCAGGAUAGCAAUAUCGCUGGCGACCGGCGCACGGGUGCGUAACACGUAUACAAUCUGCCUUUAACAGGGGGAUAGCCCGAAGAAAUUCGGAUUAAUACCCCAUAACAGAAGAUUCGGCAUCGAAUUUUUUUGAAAGCUCCGGCGGUUAAAGAUGAGUAUGCGUCUGAUUAGCUAGUUGGUGAGGUAACGGCUCACCAAGGCGACGAUCAGUAGGGGAUCUGAGAGGAUUAACCCCCACACGGAUACUGAGACACGGAUCCGACUCCUACGGGAGGCAGCAGUAAGGAAUAUUGGACAAUGCCCGCAAGGGUGAUCCAGCCAUGCCGCGUGCAGGAAGACGGCCCUAUGGGUUGUAAACUGCUUUUACACCGGAGAAAACCUAUCCUCGUGAGGAUAGCUGAUAGUAUGGUGAGAAUAAGCAUCGGCUAACUUCGUGCCAGCAGCCGCGGUAAGACGAAGGAUGCAAGCGUUAUCCGGAUUCAUUGGGUUUAAAGGGAGCGUAGGUGGACUGAUAAGUCAGUGGUGAAAUCUCCGAGCUUAACUCGGAAAUUGCCAUUGAUACUGUUGGUCUUGAGUAUAGUUGCCGUUGGCGGAAUAUGACAUGUAGUGGUGAAAUACAUAGAGAUGUCAUAGAACACCGAUUGCGAAGGCAGCUGACGAAACUAUAACUGACACUGAGGCUCGAAAGUGUGGGGAUCAAACAGGAUUAGAUACCCUGGUAGUCCACACUGUAAACGAUGAUUACUCGCUGCUAGGGGGCAACCUUUAGUGGCUUAGCGAAAGCGAUAAGUAAUCCACCUGGGGAGUACGCCGGCAACGGUGAAACUCAAAGGAAUUGACGGGGGCCCGCACAAGCGGAGGAGCAUGUGGUUUAAUUCGAUGAUACGCGAGGAACCUUACCAGGGCUUGAAAGUUAGGGAAUAACUCUGAAAGGAGUUAGUCAGCAAUGACCCGAAACUAGGUGCUGCAUGGCUGUCGUCAGCUCGUGCCGUGAGGUGUUGGGUUAAGUCCCGCAACGAGCGCAACCCCUACCAUUAGUUGCCAGCGGUUCGGCCGGGGACUCUAGUGGAACUGCCCGCGCAAGCGGUGAGGAAGGUGGGGAUGACGUCAAGUCAUCACGGCCCUUACGUCCUGGGCUACACACGUGCUACAAUGGCUAUUACAGAGGGCAGCUACAUGGCAACAUGAUGCAAAUCUUCAAAAAUAGUCUCAGUUCGGAUUGGGGUCUGCAACUCGACCCCAUGAAGCUGGAUUCGCUAGUAAUCGCGCAUCAGCAAUGGCGCGGUGAAUACGUUCCCGGGCCUUGUACACACCGCCCGUCAAGCCAUGAAAGCUGGGAGUAUUUAAAGUCGGUAGCCGUAAGGCGCCGCCUAGAGUAAAACCGGUGAUUGGGGCUAAGUCGUAACAAGGUAGCCGUACCGGAAGGUGCGGCUGGAACACCUCCUUUCUGGAGC
This 1528-nucleotide ribosomal RNA is filed under the name Sphingobacteriaceae bacterium. RNAcentral describes it as "bacterial SSU rRNA". It matches the Rfam family "Bacterial small subunit ribosomal RNA". Lineage: Bacteria; Pseudomonadati; Bacteroidota; Sphingobacteriia; Sphingobacteriales; Sphingobacteriaceae. The record is from RNAcentral.